ACUGCAUAAUAUACUUCUAGAAUGCGGAAACCAUGAACAAUAGGCCAUAAGAUUCAACUAAAUAGAAUAUCUGAAAAAUAAUAACAUCCAUAUAGGGUAACAAAUACCCAAAACAACUAAAAACUGAAUCUAAAAUCUAAACUAAAUUUGAAAGCCUCUAAAUACUGUCUGAAAUAAGGAUUGAAGGAACAUGUCUCCAACUAACUCCGUCUAGCAAAAUUGAACUGAAAUAAUGAAUAAAAUAAAAUAAUAUCAUCCUCGGAUGUAUGAAGACUCACUGCCACUCUAUGUAUUGGAAUGUUACUGCUACUGCUGAUCUGGAACUCAUGACUGUGAACCUAUGGUGCAACAUGAAAGAAAGCACCAUAGCGCAAAUGCGUCAGUACGACUGGGAGUACUGAGUAUACGAGUGAGGUAGGCUAAAAGCAAAAGGGUUUACAUGCAUGAACAAUGCUAACUGACUGACUGAUAUGAAUAUAAGAGUACAAAUAUGCAUACAUAGUAACUAAAAUAGUGAAUACAUGAUAUCUGGAUCUGUACGCUAAUACAUGGUUUACUGUUAUCUAACAUGAUUGAUACUAAAAUUUUGAUAACAUGGAUGACUGUGUCUGACAGUCCUAAUCUGUUAGAACUACCUGAGUUCCAUACUGUAACUGAAUUGACUGUAACUGAUAGUCCUGGUAUACUAUAAUCUGAAGAACUAUCUGAGUUCUUUUACUGAGACUGGGACUGAAACUGUGGGAGGUAGUUUCUUAACUGACAUGCCCUAAUAAUGCAUAUAGCUAGGUUGGGGUCCAAUCUCUACCCCGGCUAGAAGGGUAUCAAUACCGCGCCACUGGUAAGGACAACUGUAAGUGACCCUUAUCUGGCAGGUACUCGAAUAAAAAUGGUGGGAACCCUAAAUUCACAGGUUAAGCCACCUUAUCAACCCUAAUCUGGAAGGUUAAGAUGUCUUAACCUACGCUUGCUAUGUAGUUCUAUAACACAAGGAUGACUACUAAGAAUCACACCCUAAUUUGGCAGGUGAGUUCUCAUCCUUGGGUUCACUCGGUGCUAACUUCUACUCCCAUCUGAAGAGACUGAACAAGAUCUAACUAGUUAUACAUAGACUGAGUAACUGACUUCUGUUGACUCACGGAAUAGUACUACUAUCUGAGAAUUUAUUGAGAUUAUGAGAUUUCUAAGAUUUCCUGAGUCACAUGACUGACUGAGUUAUACAGAUCAUGGCUUGACUAAGAUUAUCAUGAUAACGUGACAUGGCUCUAGGAACAUAACUAUAUUUUUUGGGUACUAGUACCCCCAGGACUUGAUGGAAGGAAACUGACACACAUAACUGACUUGAUCAUAAAAUGUAGUCCACAAUUCACCAUAUCAUAAGUAGGGGAUUUCACACUAAGCAUAGUUCUCAACAUAUUACGUAUGGAAGGGAAAUUCAUGCAAUAUGUGUAUAUUUUCAUAGCUUCAAUAUCAUGCUCAAUCCAUAUCACAACAACGACGCAUAUCAAUCACGUAGAAUUCAUGUGAAAUCAUAAAGCAUAGAGCAUGGCCUUGUCAUUUAAGAACUAUUAAAUCAUGGGACAUGAAUUAUAUCAUCCUAGGCCUUUUAUCAAACACUUUGCAUGCAUUCUUUUAGCUUAGGUGUGUUUUCAUGAAUUUCCCCAUUUUAAACUACAUAAAGUUUAUGGAUUUCAACUAACAAACACAUAUACUUCAUGAAAACACCUUUAGAUAUCAUCUUGAAACUUAAACAACAAUCAUCAACAUGUACAUGGUCAUAUCACAACAAGACAAUCAUAAUAUAAUAUUUAAAACAUGGUUCUUGAGCUCUAUGAACAAAAUGGAUCCAUAGAUGAACACUACGCAUACCUUAGAUGGAAGAUUCUUGAUGAUUGAUGGAGAAAUUUACUUGAAUUUGAAUCCCCAAUUGAAAACCCUAAUAUGUUCUUGAGAGGAUUUUGAGAGAAAGAGUAUGUUUUGGUGAAAUAAGGGCUUAAUUCUGUGUUUAUGGAAUAUGUAGGGGUGGAAAGAUGACCCAAAUACCCCUCUAGAUGCGUCAAUUAAUUUCUGUGAAAAUUACCCGAUUUGGGCCCCCGAUGUGAUGCGGAGAUAUCGCGUUGCCCACUGUUUAUGACCUAUAAACUCUUUGCGACAUGGUGGAAUCAUGGAGAGACACUGAAAAGGACAAACGUCAUUUUGGCUUACGGCGCGACGCACCACUGACUGAAAAGACACUGCUAGAACUUUAAAUCGCCAUAACUUCUUCACCGGGUAUCCGUUUUAGGGGAAUUUGGUAUCGAUGUAAAGCUUAUUAAAUUCUAUACAAUUUGGAGGGCAUAAAUCUUCAAAAAUACCACCUAUAAACCAAGUUAUGCUUGUUCAAAAAUGACCUAUGUGAAAUCACACAUGAAACUUGGUGGAUUCAAAAGUUAUUAGCUUGACUUGCUCUAAGUGACUUUUAUGAACAUGCUUAACACAUCAGAAGCUCUAUUAUAACUUAAAUACUCAUCCUAAUUCAUGUAAUCCAAUAUGAAUCACAGGAUAGGAGGUUUCAUGUGUAGGAACAACAGUUCAUUUUCUAGCUUAGAAAUAUACGGGGUAUUAUAAUAUCUCCCCCUUGGAAACAUUCGCCCUCAAAUGAGAUUGAUUAAAAUGGAGAUAGGCGAUAAAAUUGAGUACGUGUAAUACAUACACUACUGGAACAUGAUCUUAUGAUGGACAUGACUGAUAAGCUAAACAUAUCAUGCUGGACAUGCAUAUCUAAUGUAUGAGUAACUGAUCAUGAAUGCAUAACUGAGAUUUCUGAUAACUAAGUUCUCCCAAUGAGAAUGCAUAUUUGAUGCAUGAUUAUACACUAGACUGAUACACGAAUGUAUGACUGAAUAUGCAAUGGUACGUGAUACCAGAGUUGUGAUAAAAUAUGAGCGUGAACUGAAUACCAAGUUGUAUACAAUACUGAAUGGGAAACUGAAUAAGCUUAAGGAGAAUUGUUACCUUGAGCUUGAUCUUUAUUGGCAGAGAAGAGGUGAGGAUACUUGUUAUGCAUGUCUGCUUCUUCUUCCCAAGUAGCUCCCUCAACGGACUGAUUUCACCAAAGAACUUUGACUAGAGGGACUUCUUUGUUCCUCAGUCUACGAGUCUUAUAAGCUAGAAUUUCAAUUGUAAUUUCCUCAUAGAAGAGACUGUUCUAACUGUCAAUGCUCUGAAUAGGGACUUCGACUGAUGGAUCACCUAUACACUUCUUGAGCAAAGAGACAUGAAAGACUGUAUGAACUGAGGCUAGAUCUGAAGGCAAUUCGAGCUCAUAAGCUAUCUUGUCUAAGCGACUGAGAAUCUUGAAGGGAUCGAUAUAUCGGGGACUGAUAUUUCUCUUCUUGCUGAACUGCUUCACUUCUUUCAUAGGAGAGAUCUUUAUAUAGACAUAUUCAUUGACCUCGAACUCGAUAUACCUUCUACGAAUGUCAGCAUACGACUUCUGUCGGCUCUGAGCAUCCCGAAGUCUUUCUCUAAUUAAUAGGACUCUCUCUAAGGUGUCGAAUACCAAGUCAGGCCCUAUGACUGAGGCCUCACUAACUUUGAACCAUCGGAUUAGAGAUGUGCACCUCCUACCAUAAAGAGCUUCAAACGAAGCCAUUUUAAUACUGGAAUGAUAGCUAUUGUUGUAUGCAAACUCAAUCAAAGGCAAGUAGUCAUCCUAACUUCCCUUGAAAUCAAUUGCAUACACCUUUAGCAUAUCUUCAGGAGUCUGAAUGGUCCUUUCUGCUUAACCGUCUAUCUGAGGAUGAAAAGCUAUACUAAGAUGAACUUGUGUACCAAGACCCUUUUGGAAUGCUUUCCAGAAGUGAAAGGUGAACUGGGUACCUCUAUUUGAGUUGAUAGAUAAUGGAACACCGUGUAAUCUGACUAACUCCCUGAUAUAGAGUUUGGUGUAAUCCUCAGCUGAAUAAGAGGUAUGGACUGGAAGAAAAUGGGCUGACUUGGUCAUUCUAUCUACAAUGACCCAAACUAAAUCAUGCUGAUGACGAGUUUGAGAAAAACCCAUCACGAAGUUCAUGUUCACUUCUUCCCACAUCUUAGUAGGAAUGGUGAACUCCUGCAUGGAACCACUAGGUUUUUGAUGCUCUAUCUUAACCUGCUGACUUGUAGGGAACUUAGCUAUAAAUUUUGCAAUAUCUCUCUUCAUCCCACUCUACCAAUAGAUCUCCCAUAGGUCGUGGUAAAUCUUAGUGGCCCCUGGAUGAAUAGAGUAUCGCGCACCAUGCGCUUCUGCAUGAUUUUUCUACUUUAAAUCAUCUACACCUAGAACACAGAGAUGACUCUGACAAUGAAUCACACCAUAUCCCCCCUGGGAGAAAACCUCUACUUUCUGAUUCUGAACUGACUCUUUUAGCUUGACAAGGCUAGGAUCCCUGUCUUGCUUUUCUUUCACCUUGGAAACUAGAGAUGACUCUGAACUAUCCUGAACACAUACACUACCCUCUGAAGAAUUAACUAAGCGAACACCUAGUCUGGCAAGCUGAUGGAUUUCCUGAGCUAUUUUCUUCUUGCUAUUCUCAACGUGAGAAACACUACCCAUAAAGAGUCUACUGAGAGCGUCGGCCAUAAUGUUGGCCUUGCUCGGAUGAUAAAGGACACUCAUGUCAUAAUCUUUCUAGAGCUCUAACCACUUUCUCUGAAGAAGAUUGAGAUCUUUCUGAGAAAAGACAUAUUAGACACUCUUAUCAUCUGUGAAGACAUCUAUAUGAACUCCGUAUAGAUAAUGCCUCCAAAUUUUCAAGGAAAAUACUACGGCUGCUAAAUUAAGAUCAUGAGUAGAAUAAUUCUUCUUAUGGGGCUUUAACUGCUUGAGGCAUAAGCUAUGACUUUACCAUGCUGCAUGAGGAAACAACCCAAAUCUAUUCUAGAUACAUCACAGUAUACAACGAACCCAUCUGAACCAUCUGGAAGAGCUAAGACUGGAGCUGAGGUGAGUCGAGUCUUCAAUUCCUAAAAACUCUUCUCGCAAGGAUCUGACCACUAAAAUUUGACCUUAUUCUUAGUCAAUCUGGACAUGGGAGAUACAAUAGAAUAAAAUCCCUCAACAAACCGCCUGUAAUAGCCAGCCAAACCCAAGAAACUCCUGAUAUCUAAUAGAGAGACAAGGUGAGGCCAGUUUCUUACUACUUCGGUCUUCUGAGGAUCUACUCUAAUCCCAUCACCAAAAAUAAUAUGGCCAAGGAAUGCUACUUACCUUAGCCAAAACUCGCACUUAUUGAAUUUAGCGAACAACUGGUGAUCUCUGAGAGUCUGAAGAAUAAUUCUGAGAUGGUCUGAAUGAUCACGCUCUAUGUGGGAAUAGACCAGGAUAUCAUCUAUGAAUACUAUGACGAACAUGUCCAAGUAUUGCUUGAACACACGGUUCAUCAAGUCUAUAAAAGCGUCUAGGGCGUUGGUAAGACCAAAGAACAUAACUAGAAAUUCAAAGUGACCAUACCAAGUAUGGAAAGCUUUCUUCGGGAUGUCACAUUCUCUAAAUCUGAGCUGAUGAUAGACUGAUCUGAGGUCUAUAUUGGAGAAAUAAUUGGCAUCCUAAAGUUGGUCAAACAAGCCAUCUAUUCUGGGAAGAGGAUACUUGUUCUUGACCAUACUUUGUUGAGCUGACGGUAAUCAAUACAUAUCCUGAGAGAACUGUCUUUCUUGUGCACGAAUAAAACUGGUACGCCCCAUGGGGAAAUACUGGGUCUAAUGAAUCCCUUAUCUAAGAGAUCCUUCAACUGAUCCUUCAGUUUUUUUGAGUUCUGCUGGUGCCAUUCUGUAUGGCGGAAUAGAAAUAAGUUGAGUAUCUGGAAUAAGGUCAAUGCCAAAGUUUAUUUCCCUUUCGGGAGGAAUGCUUGGAAGAUCUUCGGGAAAUACAUCUAAAUAUUCGUUAACCACUGGGAUUGAUUCAAAGCUAGGAGAUUCAAAAUAAGAGUCUUUAACAUGAACGAGAUGAUAAACACAUCCCUUAGAAAUCAUUUUCCUUGCCCGAAGGUAGGAAACAAGUUGACCCCUAAAAAAUGAAGUACUACCCUUCCACUCUAGGACGGGCUCAUUCGAGAACUGAAAUUAAACUAUCUUAUUUCUGCAACCGACUGUCGCAUAAAAGGAAUGAAGCCAAUCCUGCCAAGAAUGACAUCAAAAUCAGUCAUCUCUAACUAAACUAAAUCUGCUGAAGUGACUUUCUGAAAUAUCAUAAUAGGGCAGUUCCUGUAUACCCACCGAGCUAUGAUGGUUUUACCCACUCGGGUAGAGACUGAAAGGGCUCUGUUAAAAUUUCAGGACUGAUUCUAAAAUCGCCUGCUAUAUAAAGAGUAACAAAAGACAAGGAUGAACCUGGAUCUAGCAAAGAAUAAACAUGAACAUGAAAAAUCUGUAACAUACCAUUAACGAUAUCAGGAGAAUUUUCCUGAUCCUAUCAGGUCUAAAGAGCAUAGAGUCUGUUUGGGCGUCGCCCACUAGCAGCACUGGAAGUGGCACCCUGCUGAUUUGGGCAACUGAACAGGGCUGUAGAACGAUUCUUCUGACCCUGUAGACCUUACUGCAGACACUCUCUAAUCCUAUGACCUGGCUUUCCAUAACUGAAACAAAUGUCACUACCAGCUUUACAAGUACCCUUGUGGUUCUUACCAUAAGCCUAACACAGGGGAUCAGUUCGGGUACAGCUGACACUGCCCUGAGACUUAGAGCUUGGUGCUUGAUCUCUAUUGCCGUCUCUGAAUUUCGAAACUGGGGCAUUGGUGGAGGAAGGAGAUGGAACUGUUGGCUUAGGAUAGAACUGCGAAUAAUUUCCUCCUGAUUUAGGUUGAGCAAAACUAAAACUGCCUGAUCUUGCUCUCUUGUUUUGCCUUUCCCUAGGCCUAAUAUUUUGCUCCUCUCUUUGCUGAGCAUAUGUCAUGAGCCUAGCUAAAGUCAUAUCACUGUUUAGCAUCACAGACCUACACUCAUUUACCAUGCUAUCAUUCACUCGUGACACCAACUUGCUCAUCUUAGCCCUGUGUUUGCAACCACAUAAGGGACAUAUCUGGAUAGCUGAGUAAAUCUGAGACAAUACUCUUUAACCGUUAUAUUUCCCUGCCUGAGGUUAAUGAACUCAUGAAAUUUUACCUCCCUCAGCUCUUGGGGAAAGAAUCUUUCUAACAAAGCUAGGAAAAUAUCCUCCCACUCUAUAGGACCUGCACCAUCUACCCUCUCAGACUUCCACUGUUUAUACCAAGUGUGAGCAAUAUCCUAUAACUGGUAUGCGGCUAACUCGACACUCUAACAAGAAGUAACUCCCAUGAUGUCUAUGAUCUUCUGUACUUGAUCAAUGAAUUCCUGAGGGUCUUUAUUAGACUUAGACUCGAAGAAAUAUGGAGGGUUCAUUCAGGUGAAGUCCCGAAUCCUAGCUGUGGCUGAGUUAGCCACUGGAUUGGCCAGAAUAACUGGUGGCUGUUCAUUUUAAGUAGCCACAAACUAAGCAAGUGUGGUGAAUGCAGCCCUAAACUCCGCAUGAGAAACAUGUUCACCCAACGGAUCUUCGGGCUGAGGAGCGGGCUGGUUUCUUCUCUUUGGAGGGAUAUUCUGAAAUAAGAGAAGAACGGAUUAGACUGAGAGUUUAACUUGAGAUUAUGCUCACUAGCACGACAUGAAUACUGAAAAAGAGGAAAUUGUUCCUAAAACAUCUCAUAGCCUCUUGCACAUAAAUGUGGUGCGCAAUAUACCCAUGCACAAGAGUCUACUAGAUGCGGCUUUCAGACUUCCUAGGACUUUAUUGAACCUUAGGCUCUGAUACUUUGUAACGACCCGAUUUUCUGAAUCAGAAUGCUACACGGUACUUAUGACCCUGAGGGACCACAAGCUAACCCAUGAUUCAUAUCUGUACCUGUACACUGUAUAAUAUACUUGUAGAAUAUGGAAAACAUAAACAAUAGGCCAUAAGGUUCAACUGAAUAGAAUAUCUGAUAAAUAAUAACAUCCAUAUAGGGUAAAAAAUACCCAAAACAACUUAAAGCUGAAUCUAAAAUCUGAACUAAAUCUGAAAGCCUCUAAAUGCUGUCUGAAAUAAGGAGUUGAAGGAACAUAUCUCCAACUAACUCCGUCUAGAAAAACUGAACUGAAAUAAUGAAUGAAAUAAAAUAAUAUUAUCCUUGGAUGGAUAAAGACUCACUCCCACUCUAUGUAAUGAAAUGCUACAGCUACUGCUGAUCUAGAACUUGUGACUCUGAACCUAUGGUGUAACAUGAAAGAAAGCACCAUAGUGAAAAUACGUCAAUACGACUGGGAGUACUGAGUAUAAGAGUGAGGUAGGCUAAAAGCAAAAGGGUUUACAUGCAUGAACAAUGCUAACUGACUGACUGAUAUGAACGUAAGAGUACAAACAUGCAUACAUAGUAACUAAAAUCUUGAAUACAUGAUAUCUGGAUCUGUAUGCUAAUACAUGGUCUACUAUUAUCUAACAUGACUAAUACUAAAAUUUUGAUAACAUAGAUGACUGUGUCUGACAGUCCUUAAUCUGAUGGAACUACUUGAGUUUCGUACUGUAACUGACAGUCCUGGUAUACAGAAAUCUGAAGAACUAUCUGAGUUCUUUUACUGAGACUGGGACUGAAACUGUGGGAGGUAGUUUCUUAACUGACAUGCCCUAAUAAUACAUAUAGCUAGGUUGGGGUCCAAUCUCUACCCCGACUAGAAAGGUAUCAAUACCGCGCCACUGGUAAGGACAACUGUACGUGACCCUUAUCUGGAAGGUACUCGAAUAAGAAUGGUGGGAACCCUAAAUUCACAGGUUAAGCCACCUUAUCAACCCUAAUCUGGCAGGUUAAGAUGUCUUAACCUACGCUUGCUACGUAGUUCUAUAACACAAGGAUGACUACUAAGAAUCACACCCUAAAUUGGCAGGUGAGUUCUCAUCCUUGGGUUCACUCGGUGCUAACUUCUACUCCCAUCUGAAGAGACUGAACAAGAUCUAACUAGUUAUACAUAGACUGAGUAACUGACUUCUGUUGACUCACGGAAUAGUACUACUAUCUGAGAAUUUAUUGAGAUUAUCAGAUUUCUGAGAUUUCCUGAGUCACAUGACUGACUGAGUUAUACAGAUCAUGGCUUGACUAAGAUUAUCAUGAUAACGUGACAUGGCUCUAGGAACAUAACUAUAUUUUUUGGGUACUAGUACCCCCAGGACUUGAUGGAAGGAAACUGACACACAUAACUGACUUGAUCAUAAAAUGUAGUCCACAAUUCACCAUAUCAUAAGUAGGGGAUUUCACACUAAGCAUAGUUCUCAACAUAUUACGUAUGGAAGGGAAAUUCAUGCAAUAUGUGUAUAUUUUCAUAGCUUCAAUAUCAUGCUCAAUCCAUAUCACAACAAUGACGCAUAUCAUUCACGUGGAAUUCAUGUGAAAUCAUAAAGCAUAGAGCAUGGCCUUGUCAUUUAAGAACUAUUAAAUCAUGGGACAUGAAUUCUAUCAUCCUAGGUCUUUUAUCAAAUACUUUGUAUGCAUUCUUUUAGCUUAGGUGUGUUUUCAUGAAUUUCCUCAUUUUAAACCACAUAAAGUUCAUGGAUUUCAACUAAAGAACACAUAUACUUCAUGAAAACACCUUUAGAUAUCAUCUUGAAACUUAAACAACAAUCAUCAACAUGUACAUGGUCAUAUCACAACAAGACAAUCACAAUAUAAUAUUUAAAACAUGGUUCUUGAUAUCUAUGAACAAAAUGGAUCCAUAGAUGAGCACUACACAUACCUUAGAUGGAAGAUUCUUGAAGAUUGAUGGAGAUAUUUUCUUGAACUUGAUCCCUAAUGGAAAACCCUAAUGUGUUCUUGAGAGGAUUUUGAGAGAAAGAGUAUGUUUUGAUGAAAGAUAUAUAGGGGUGGAAAGAUGACCCAAAUACCCCUCUAGAUGCGUCAUUUAAUUUCUGUGAAAAUUAUCGAUUUGGGCCCCCAGCUCGACGUAGAGAUAUCGUGUUCCCCCCUCCCGGUUUAUGACCUGGAAACUCACCGCGAUGUGGUGGAAUUUCAGAGAGACACUGGAAAUUGACAAACAUUAUUUUGGCUUAUGGCUCGACGCACCACUGACUGAAAUGGUGCUGCUGAAACUUUAAAUUGACAUAACUUCUUUAUCGGGUGUCCAUUUUAGGCAAAUUUGGUAUCAACGGAAAGCUUAUUCAAUUAUCUACAAUUAUGAGGGUAUAAAUAUGAAAUAAUGACAUCUAUAAUCCAAGUUAUACUCAUUCAAAAAUAACCUAUAUGAAAUGACACAUGAAAAUUUAGUGGAUUCAAAAGUUCUUAGCUUGGCUUACUCUAAGUGACUCUUAUUAACAUGCUUAACACAUCAUAAGCUCUAUUAUCACUGGGAUACUCAUCCUAAUUCAUGUACUCCCAUAUGAAUCACAGGAUAGGAGGUUUCAUGUGUAGAAACAACAGUUUAUUUUCUAGCUUAGAAAUAUACAGGGUAUUACAAUAUCCCCCCCUUGAAAACAUUCGCCCUCGAAUGAGACUAACCGAAAUAGGGAUAGACGAUAAACUAGUGUAUGUACAAGACAUACACUAAUAGAACAUGAUCUCAUGACGGACAUGACAGAUAAGCUAAACAUAUCAUGCUGGACAUGCAUAUCUGAUGUAUGAGUAACUGAUCAUGAAUGCAUAACUGACAUUUCUGAUAACUGAGUUCUCCCAAUGAGAAUGCAUAUUUGAUGCAUGAUUAUACACUAGACUGAUACAUGAAUGCAUGACUUAAUAUACAAUGGUACUUGAUACCAGAUUUGUGAUGAAACGUGAGUGUGAGCUGAAUACCAAGUUGUAUAGAAGACUAAACAAGAAACUGAAUAAGCUUAAGGAGAACUGUUAACUUAAGCUUGAUCUGGAUUGCCAGAGAAGAGGUGAGGAUACUUGGUAUGCAUGUCUGCUUCUGCUUCCCAAGUAGCUCCCUCAACAGACUGAUUUUUCCAAAGAACUUUGACUAGAGGGACUUCUUAGUUCCUCAGUCUACGAGUCUGAUAGUCUAGAAUUUCAACCGAAAUUUCCUCAUAGAAGAGACUGUUCUGACUGUCAAUGCUCUGAAUAGGGACUUCGAUUGAUGGAUCACCUAUACACUUCUUGAGCAAAGAGACAUAAAAGAAUGGAUGAACUAAGGCUAGAUCUAAAGGUAAUUUGAGCUCAUAAGCUACCUUACCUAAGCGACUGAGAAUCUUGAAGGGACCGACAUAUCGGGGACUGAGAUUUCCCUUUUUGCCGAGCCACUUUACUUUCUUCAUGGUAGAGAUCUUUAGAUAGACAUAUUCCUUGACCUCGAACUCGGUAUCCCUUCUACGAAUAUCAGCAUACGACGUCUGUCCGCUCUGAGCAGCCCGAAGUCUUUUUGUGGUUAACUGGACUUUCUCUAAGGCGUCGAAUACUAAGUCAGGCCCUAUGACUGAGGCCUCACAAACUUCAAACCAUCUGAUUAGAGAUCUGCACCUCCUACCAUAGAGAGAUUCGAACGGAGCUAUUUUAAAACUAGAAUGAUAGAUAUUACUGUAUGCAAAAUCAAUCAAAGGAAAGUGGUCAUCCCAACUUCCCUUGAAAUCAAUUACACACGCCCUUAGCAUAUCUUCAAGAGUCUAAAUGGUCCUUUAUGCUUGACCAUCUGUCUGAGGAUGAAAAGCUAUACUGAGAUGAACUUGGGUACCAAGACCCUUUUGGAAUGCUUUACAAAAGUGAGAGGUAAACUAGGUACCUCUGUUUGAGAUAAUAGAUAAUAGAACGCCAUGCAAUCUGACCAAUUCCCUCAUAUAGAGUUUGUCAUAAUCCUCGGUUGAAUAAGAGGUAUGGACUGAAAGGAAAAUGGGCUGACUUGGUCAUUCUAUCUACAAUUACCCAAACUAAAUUAUGCUAAUAACGAGUUUGAGGCAAACCUAUCACGAAGUUCAUGUUCACUUCUUCCCACUUCUUAGUAGGAAUGGUGAACUCCUGCAUGGAGCCACUAGGUUUCUGAUGCUCUAUCUUAACCUGCUGACAUGUAGGGUACUUAGCCAUAAGAAGUAAUAGUAAUACUACAUAAUAGUUAGUAAUAGUAGUACUACGUAGGAUAUGUAGUAGAAGUAGUAAUAAUAUAGUUAGUAUAAGAAGUAGCACUAAGUAGGAUAUAACAACAACAAGAACAAGAACAAGAACAACAACAACAAUAACAAUAACAAAAACAAGAACAAGAACAACAGCAGCAACAAGAAUAACAACAACAAGAACAAUAAAAACAAGAAGAAAAAGAAGAAGCAGAAAAAGAAGAAGAAGAAGAACAACAACAAUAAGAACAACAACGACAACAAUAAUAACAACAAGAACAGGAACAACAACAAGAACAACAAGAACAACAAGAAUAAUAACAAGAAGAACAAGAACAACAACAACAACAACAAUAAGAAAAAUAACAAGAACAAUAACAAAAACAACAACAAGAAGUAGUAAUAAUAAUAAUAGUUAGUAAUAGUAGUACUACGUAGGAUAUGUAGUAUAAGUAGUAAUAAUAUAGUUAGUAUAAGAAGUAACACUAAGUAGGAUAUAAAAACAACAACAACAACAACAAUAACAAGAACAAGAACAACAACAAGAAAAAGAACAAAAACAAUAACAACAACAAGAACAAGAACAACAAUAACAACAACAACAAAAAUAAUAAAAACAAGAACAACAAGAACAAAAACAACAACAAUAACAAGAACAAGAAUAAGAAUAAGAACAACAAUAACAACAACAAUAAGAACAAGAACAACAACAAGAAGAACAAUAAAAAUAACAAGAACAAUAAUAAUAAGAAAAAUAAGAACAACAACAAGAAUAUUAAGAACAAGAACAAGAACAACAAUAAGAACAAGAACAACAAGAACAACAAGAACAACAACAACAACAACAAAAAUAACAAGAACAAGAACAAGAACAAGAACAAGAACAACAACAAUAAUAAUAACAAUAACAACAAUAACAACAACAACAAUAACAACAAAAGGCAAAGUUAGCAAUUACGGCUGCUAAGAUAAUAACAUUUGAGAGCUUGUAUGUGGGGUUAGAGGAGAAAGGGGGAAAAAGUUGUAUAGUCUUGCUAAGACUAGGGAGAGAAAGGGUCGUGACCUCGAUCUAGUGAAGUGCAUUAAGGGGAAAUAAGGUAGAUUUUUGGUGAAGGAUGUUCGCAUUAAGAAGAGAAGAAAGGAGUACUUUCAUAGACUUUUAAAUGAGGAGAGGGACAGAGACAUCGUGUUAGGAGAGUUAGAGUGCUCGAAGGAGAACUGAGUGUUCUGUUAUUGUAGAUGUUUCAGGGUGGAAGAGGUUAAAGAGGGUAUUCGUAGGAUGUGGAGAGGUAGGGCGAUGGGGCUUGACGAAAUUCCAGUGGAUUUUUGGAAGUAUGCUGGUGGGGCAAGCUUGAGAUGGUUGAUAGAUUUGUUCAAUGUCAUUUUUAAGACUAUGAGGAUGUCUAAGGCUUAGAGAUGGAGUACGAUGAUUCGUUAUACAAAAACAAGGGUGACAUUCAUAGUUGUAACAAUUAUAGGGGUAUUAAGCUAUUGAGUAACACUAUGACGAUUUGGGAGAGAGUGGUUGAACGGAGAUUGAGAAAGGUCGCGUCUAUUUAAGAGAAUCAGUUUAGUUUUAUGCCUGGUCGCUCGACGACAGAGAAAAUCCACCUGGUGAUAAGAUUGGUAGAGCAGUAUAGGGAGAGGAAGAGGGAUUUGCACAAGGUGUUCAUCGAUCUGGAGAAGGCGUAUGACAGAGUACCUAGGGAGGUGCUUUAGAGUUUCUUAGAGGCAAGAGGAGUUCUGAUCACAUAUAUCAGAGCUAUUAAGGACAAGUAUGAGAGAGGUAAGACUCGGGUGCGGACGGUGAAAGGAGACUCAGGGCAUUUUCCAGUCAAGACUGGUUUGCAUCAGGGGUCAACUUUUAGCCCGUUCCAUUUUGUGUUGGUGUUGGACGUCCUGAUGCGGAAGAUUCAAGGUAAGGUUCUAUGGUAGAUGUUAUUUACAGAUUAUGUAGUGCUGAUUGACGAGAUGCGGAGGGGUGUGAAUGAGAAAUUGGAGGUGUGGAGGCAAAAUCUUGAAUCUAAGGGGUUCAGGUUGAGUAGGUCCAAGACAAAGUAUUUGGAAUGCAAGUUUAGUGACUCGAGUAUGGAGGACGGUGUGAUGGUGAGGUUGGAUUCCCAACAUGUUUGUAAGAAGGAUAAUUUUAAGUAUCUUGGGUCUGUGAUUCAGGGGAAUGGCGAGAUUAUUGAGGAUGUCUUUAAAGGUAUUGGAGCAGGCUGGAUGAAAUGGAGGAUUGCCUCGGGAGUGUUGUGUGAUAAUAAGGUGCCCCUUAAGCUUAAAGGUAAAUUCUACAGAGUGGCAGUCCGUCCGGCCAUGUUGUAUAGAGCGGAGUGUUGGCCAGUCAAGAACUCAUAUAUUCAAAGAUUGAAGGUGGUGGAAAUAAAAAUGUUGCAUUGGAUGUGUGGCCUGACUAAAGGGGAUAAAUUUCAGAAUGAGACUAUCCGAGAGAAGGUGGGAGUGGAUUUGGUGGAAGAUAAGAUGCGAGAAGGAAGGUUGAGAUGGUUUGGGCAUGUGAUAAGGAGGGUCACAGAUGCCCCAGUUCGGAGGUGCGAAAGGCUAGCUUUGGAUGGCUUCAGGAGGAGUAAAGGUAGGCCAAACAAAUACUGGAGGGAGGUUAUUAGGUAUGACAUGGAGCUGUUUCAGCUUACUGAGGACAUGACCCUAGACAGGAUGGCGUGGAGGUCACUGAUUAGGGUAGAAAGGCUAGUGUGAGUGGGUUGGUUAUGGUUAGGUGUUAGGAGAGUUGGGUGUGGAAGGUUUCUUAGGUCGGUGAGUGUGUGUUACUACUACAUGGGUAUUCAUUUUUCUUAUUUCUUAGUUUGUUUGUUCGUUUUUCUCUUAUUUCCUUUUCUCGGAUAUCUAGUGUUACUAUUUCUUACCUUUGAUUUUUGUUAUGCUACCUUGGUAUAUUGUUCUAUAUCUUGAGCCGGGGGUCUAUCGAAAACAACCUCUCNNNNNNNNNNNNNNNNNNNNNNNNNNNNNNNNNNNNNNNNNNNNNNNNNNNNNNNNNNNNNNNNNNNNNNNNNNNNNNNNNNNNNNNNNNNNNNNNNNNNNNNNNNNNNNNNNNNNNNNNNNNNNNNNNNNNNNNNNNNNNNNNNNNNNNNNNNNNNNNNNNNNNNNNNNNNNNNNNNNNNNNNNNNNNNNNNNNNNNNNNNNNNNNNNNNNNNNNNNNNNNNNNNNNNNNNNNNNNNNUCUUAGGUCGGUGAGUGUGUGUUACUACUACAUGGGUAUUCGUUUUCCUUAUUUCUUAGUUUGUUUGUUCGUUUUUCUCUUAUUUCCUUUUCUCGGAUAUCUAGUGUUACUAUUUCUUACCUUUGAUUUUUGUUAUGCUACCUUGGUAUAUUGUUCUAUAUCUUGAGCCGGGGGUCUAUCGAAAACAACCUCUCUAUUUCCUCGGAGGUAGCGGUAUGGACUGCAUACAUUUUACCCUCCCCAAACCCCACUCUGUGGGAAUACACUGGGUUUGUCAUUGUUGUUGUAUUAAAAUUUCAAAAUAAACCAAUUCUACAUAUUUUGAGGUAUGACUUCUUUUAAGAGUAUUCUACAUUUUUUUAUAGUUUUAAUUGAAUAUACAAAAAUCUAAAGUUUAUUUUAAUAAGCUUAAAGAUUAAGAUAAAGUUUGCUAAAAAAUAUUUAGUUUGAAAUUUUUUAUAACAUUUUUUAUAAUUUUAAAUUGAAAUUAUAAACGAAUAAAUAUUAUGUUUAGAGAUAUAAAUUAUUUAAAUUAGUAGUCUUUAGAUAAAGAUAAGUUUGUUGAAAAUUAGUUUGUUGAAUUAGUCUUAAAUUUUUGAAUUUUAAAUUUCAAAUGGAAGUUAGGAUUCUUUUAGCUUUUGAAUUGAAAACAAACUUUAUACUAGAUAAAGUUGAAUUUAAAUUAACUCUUUCUAUAUAAACUAAUUUUUCAAUCAAACUUCUCAUUUCAUUCUCUAAAUUCUUUUGAACUUAUUCUUUAAUUAUUCAAUCAAAUCCGUUUAUUGCUCAUACCACAUUCAUGGUUGACAAUAUGCUUACAUUAAUAGAUCUAUAUACAAUGUGUAUAUUAUUUAAAGUUUAAUUUUAGAUUAUUUAUUAUUAAUUAUAAUAAUUUGUGUGAUUUUUUGUUAUAUAGAAUUUCUAUCAUAGGCAAAGAGGCUAUAGAUCAUGCAUAUACUAUUUUUCAAAAUAAUUACCAAGGUAUGUUGUUUAUACUUGAUUUGAUUUAUUAAUAAAUUUUUUAUUAUUUACAACUAACAUUACAUUUAUCUUUUGUCAGAAAUGUAACUAAAGAAUCUAAAUUUUCAAAUAUAAGGUUUUCGAAGAUUUGAUGUAUAUAAACAUCACAAAAGUGUGAAAUAAAUAUUUAAAAAACUAACAAAUAUAAUAAAAAACUAUUUGUAAAUCUUAAAUAGAAGAGUAGGGGACAAAUAAAUAAACAAUAUAAUAAAGCAAAACAUGAAACUAGGGCUGCAUAUCGGUUGGUUCGGUUCGAUUUUGAAAAUUAUCGAUUUUAUUUAUUCAUUAUCAGUUUGUAUAUAUGCUAAACUGUUAAAGAAUCGUUAAGAUAUCAGUUAAUCGGUUAUCAGUUUAUUGAUUUUUCAUUGUUAUCGGUUCGGUUAUCGGGUUAACUGUUAACAAUGAACAUAUAUAAUUUAAAGUUCAAAGCUAGUAAGCAAGCUACUUCGGACUACCAGGCUAAGUGGUACUGCUUAGUGCUCACCGCCUACUGCUUAGGAUAAUAUAAAUAAAAGAAAUAAACCUAGCAAUACUUGCUAUACAUUAACUCAGCAAUGACAGUAAAAGUUCUAGUAUGCAAUGAAAAACUAAGUGUACAUACAUAAUGCAAAUAUAGUCAUGUGAGAGCCAAUGAUAUAAGAUUGCACUAACUAGAAUUGAACAUUUUUAUUAGUAAUGCUCAAAAAGGCUAAAGAAAAAUUCAAAUAUGAGGGGACCUAAUUGUGACCAGUACUGACCACCCAUGUCUUUUUAUCCUGUUAGCUUCAAAAUUUAAUUUCUUCAUACCAUGCAUGAGCAAGUCUAAAAUAAUUAGUGUUCUACUAGUAGCUACCAAAAAGAGAAAAAACUUAACAGAAAACAAGGAAUACAUGACUGUUUCCUACUGGUUAAUGAGAGAAUUUAGUUGGAUUUGAGCCUUUGAGGGAAAUAAAGUAGGCUAAUACAGUCCACGAUCAUAACUUGUUGAGGAGUGAAAAAAAUUGCAUAUCACAAAUAACUGAUCAAAUUCGACAAGCACCACAAAUAACACAUACACAAUGAAUAACAUUAUCAAUUCUUUCCUCUACUUCUCUCACACCCAUUAUCCAAAAACAAGCAAAGAUCCAAAUAUUAAGCAAAGAAAGAAUAAAGGGGAGGGGGGGGGGGGGGAAAAAAAAAAACCAAAAAUUCUUUCUUUGUUCUUCUCUCACACCCCACUACCCAAAAACAAGAAAAGAUUCAAACUUUAAGCAAAGAAAGAACUAAACUUUGUAAUAAUGCAACAAUGGGUACAACCGUCCAAUUCUGCAUAUUAUGGCUUCUUUCAUAGAAGUACACAAACCAUUCAACAAGAUUUUAGUAUCAAACACUUUAUACAAAAGUAUAACUAAAAGGAAAAAAAUGUCAUUGUACCAAACAAUAACAUAAAGGGUAGCCCUGUGCCACUGUAUCAAGAAACAAACUAAAUUUGGAGGGGGGUGAGGGGGGUUAGUGAAGCACUAACAAAAUAAAUUAUUUUCUCUAGUUCUACAACACCCCACUACCCCAAAACAAGAAAAGAUUCAAAUCUUUAAGCAAAAUAAGAACUGAACUUUCUAAUAAUACAAUAAUGGGAGUGUCAGAAUAUGGUUUUGUUGAGCUAUUUCAAUACCAUUAAUGGGUACUACUAAGCCAUUAAUACAAUAAAGUGAAGAUGAAGUAGAAUACUAUCAACAACAACAAAAAUUGAACAUGCAAAUGAGAUGGAGAAAAAGGGUUACCUGAAAUUUUUUUACCUUCAAUUUUCGAUCAGAGAUGUGAGUAGCGAAUAAACUCUAAGUCAAAUUUUCAGCUCAAUUUAAAGUUCGAUCUUCGGCACAAGUUCGAUCUUGUAAAAAACAAUAAUUUUUUCGUGACUGAGAGACUGAGAAAGAGUGAGAUUAGAGAUGUGAGUAGCGCGUAGUGACUGAGAGAGAGUGAGAGACUGAAAGUGAGAGGCAUGAAGUCGUGAUUGUGAAAGAAGACUGAGGACCUAAU
This 18241-nucleotide long non-coding RNA is filed under the name Capsicum annuum. RNAcentral describes it as "long non-coding RNA (CANN_LNC021302)". Lineage: Eukaryota; Viridiplantae; Streptophyta; Magnoliopsida; Solanales; Solanaceae. The record is from RNAcentral.